CACGUAGUUAGCCGGCGCUUCUUCUGCAGGUACCGUCACUUUCGCUUCUUCCCUACUGAAAGAGGUUUACAACCCGAAGGCCGUCAUCCCUCACGCGGCGUCGCUGCAUCAGGCUUUCGCCCAUUGUGCAAUAUUCCCCACUGCUGCCUCCCGUAGGAGUCUGGGCCGUGUCUCAGUCCCAGUGUGGCCGGCCACCCUCUCAGGCCGGCUACCCGUCGUCGCCUUGGUGGGCCAUUACCCCACAACAAGCUGAUAGGCCGCGAGUCCAUCCCCCACCGAUAAAUCUUUCCACCACCUCCCAUGCGGAAGGAAGUGAAUAUCCGGUAUUAGACCCAGUUUCCCGGGCUUAUCCCAGAGUCGGGGCAGGUUACUCACGUGUUACUCACCCGUUCGCCACUAAUCCACCCGGUGCAAGCACCAAGAUCAUCGUUCGACUUGCAUGUGUUAAGCACGCCGCCAGCGUUCAUCCUGACGCCAGGAUCAAACUCU
RNAcentral lists this ribosomal RNA (489 nucleotides) under uncultured Arthrobacter sp. Its description in RNAcentral is "partial 16S ribosomal RNA". The record is from RNAcentral. Lineage: Bacteria; Bacillati; Actinomycetota; Actinomycetes; Micrococcales; Micrococcaceae.